This 325-nucleotide ribosomal RNA is filed under the name uncultured Acidobacteriota bacterium. RNAcentral's name for it is "bacterial SSU rRNA". It matches the Rfam family "Bacterial small subunit ribosomal RNA", at positions 32 to 351 of the family's 1533-position model. Lineage: Bacteria; Pseudomonadati; Acidobacteriota. The record is from RNAcentral.
AAUCAACGCUGGCGGCGUGCCUAACACAUGCAAGUCGAGCGAGAAAGGGUAGCAAUACCUGAGUACAGCGGCGCACGGGUGAGUAACACGUGGAUAACCUGCCUCGAAGUGGGGGAUAACACCGGGAAACCGGUGCUAAUACCGCAUAAUCUGACGAGAUCUGAGGAUUUUGUCAGCAAAGGAGCAAUUCGCUUUGAGAGGGGUCCGCGGCUGAUUAGCUAGUUGGUGAGGUAAUGGCUCACCAAGGCAACGAUCAGUAGCCGGUCUGAGAGGACGGUCGGCCACACUGGAACUGAGACACGGUCCAGACUCCUACGGGAGGCUG